AUGUUAUUUUUUUUGGCCAAGCUAGGCUUUAGGUCACACUCCGGUGAGAACUCCAGUAGGUUCCGGCAACCUACGAUUUGGUAGAAUGGUAGAUGAAAAUUGAAGAUUUGGAGCCUAGCCUUUAGAUACAACAAUAAUGCGAAAAGCAAAGAACAGUAUGUAUAUAUGUAAUAUUGGGUUUUAAACUCUUUAUUUUCUUGAGUUUGGUAGAUGAGUUUAUGAGAUUGUUUGUUUACAUUAUGAAGAACAUUGAAAGGUCAUGAAGGCCGCUACAUAGGUAAAGGCGUCGUAUAGGUUAGGGCAACAACUGGCAACGGCAUACCGGGAAGACAAACAGACGCAGACGCUGCAUCAUCUUCUUCAACGGUUUAUAUGUAAUCCGUCGCGAAAGAGAAUAUUGUUUUAAUUGGUGAUGUGGGCUAGGAACUGCGAAAGGACUGGUUUAUCUCCACGAGUACUUAAGAGAAGCUAGAAAUGAAGGCAGGCGUGGUGGACAUGGCGAUCAUGGGUUCGGGCGUGGUGGCUGUCUCGGUCACAUUUUAUGUUUGUGAAUUUCUUAAACAUGUUUCUGUACCUGAACUGUUACAUUUUUUAAUAGACAACAAGGUUCUCUGCUGCAUCAGAUGCUACACGGUUAAAUCAGGCAACUUUUGGAAUGGGUUUGGUUUGGGUGUGCUAAAACACUUUUUGGCAAAGAGCUUUAAGGCAUCUGGAAGCAUUGGGACGGUUUGGAACAUAUACUUCAUAUCUAAUUACUAACGGUAGCAGCAUUUUCUUCUCGAGGCCUGAAUAUAAAAGAUUAUAAAUUUUCCGACGCAGAUUAUUUGAAACUUGAAGCACCAGAUUCUUUGAACUGGCCUUUUUGGUCUCCAAAUGGAACCGAUGACCCUAAUUAUGAAGAUAUGGAUCUUUGAGGUUUUCCAAUACCCUAGGAAGUUUGGUAUCAACAUAACGUGGAAGCGUACUUUUCAAAAAAAAAAAAAAAA
Molecule: long non-coding RNA, 986 nt
Organism: Helianthus annuus (common sunflower)
Lineage: Eukaryota; Viridiplantae; Streptophyta; Magnoliopsida; Asterales; Asteraceae
Exons: 5
Source: RefSeq, a predicted model, not a curated record